Molecule: non-coding RNA, 2913 nt
Organism: Myodes glareolus (Bank vole)
Lineage: Eukaryota; Metazoa; Chordata; Mammalia; Rodentia; Cricetidae
Source: RefSeq, a predicted model, not a curated record
UGUAAGGUCCAGGAGCCAAGGACCGAUGAAUCAAGGACCAAGUUGGACAAAGCUACAUUGUCCAGGAGCAUCCAGGGAGCCUGCCCAAGGCAGAUGCUCAAUGCCAUUGUACAGGAGAGAAAUGCAAGUUCCCCGCGGCGAACACUCGCCACAGAAAUACAAACUAUGGGUCUGUCCAUAGAUUUCUGUUACAGGACUGUAAGAAGGAGCCUUCAAGCUCCCAACUCUAUUUCAAAGAAGCCUCUCAGGGUGCCUCAAGUCAACCCAGCACCAUGGUGACAUGAGCUGAAAAACCUGUUGGGAGUGGGAGAAAGCACACAGGACACCCGAAAGAGAAAUGGCCCUGUGCCUUCCCUUGUACAGAUAGGGAUUUUCUGCCAAAGGUCCACACAGUGGCUCAUUUUCUAGUAUUUACCUCAGAAGCACAGAGGCCUCAUCUCAGGGUCCUCAGCACCAUGUUAAAAGGUCACAGGAAGGAAGCUCACCUGGCCACAGGCACCAGCAAGACGUCUGUGCCAGACAGGCAUCUCACUGCUCUGCCUGUUUGUCGUCUUUGCAUGUCCUGACAAAAGGACUGCACACCAGAUGAAAACCUACCUGCCCCCGUGAGAGCCUCCUAGAACAAGGUACCUGAAUCACUCUUCGGAGAGCGGUGCCAGGACCCUCCUGUAACCCUGUAUCUCUCCAUGCGACCUGAGUACAAGCAUUGUCUUUCCUCUGCGCCAGAAAAGCAGCACGCCCGAGCCCCCAAAGCUUUCUCGUGGCACAAGAAGAAAGGGAAGCGGUCCAUUUAAGUAGCUCAACAUAGCAAGUUCAGCCAGCACACGGCCCCUUCGUUCAAGUAACAUGAGAUCUGGGAGCAGAGAAAAAGAGAAAGGCUAGAGCCCGGUCAGGGUUUUGUCUUCUUUCGUUUGCCAACGCUCUUACGGGGUGUAGGGGGAGUGAGAAAGAAAAGGGAGUUAUUACCCAACAUAAAAAGGAUGGCACAGAACCAAUGCCAAGCUGAUAACUUAAGAAUGGCUGAGUUGAAUGGGGGAGGGUGAGAUCCUCUUCCCAGUAGACAGAAAAGCUACCCCCUCAAAGCCGAUUCCUCCGCAGAGCACUCCAUGAGGAAUGGCUGCCUGGGUCACGUGUGUUUGUUGCGUUGAGACAGGGGAGCAGUAAUGAAAUUAUCAAAUGGAAAAGAAACGCUAAGGGCGUAAAAACAGCUGGCAGAAAAGAAGUGAGCUCGCCGUUCAGCAGCUGGAAGGGGUUUUCCUGGAGUGGACCGUAUUAGCAAGUAGUGUAUGGCUCCGGGCUGCCGCACAUGGAAGGUCUGUAUGACAACGCUGAACUCAGCAGAGGGUUUAAAGCCUUUGCACAGGAAGUAGGAGCAAUGCAGAACCGAACAGGGCGAUGGGAAGUGGACAAGGGAGCAAAGGGAGGCAAAGGCGUAGGACAAACAAUGGCCAUUGUCUCUUUUAAGGUUUUACAGCUAUGGUGUACAAUUAAGCUGACAUUUUAAACUGCUAGCACCUCUUGCCACUCAGACUUGAACAAGAUCUUAACAGCACAGGCAUGGGGAGCGGAGUUUUCAGCGGCCAAGGGCACGGAGCACACUCACGACCCAGAAACAGAUAGAAAGUUAGGUAGAUGUGAUGUGUGGAUACGGGGAAGGCCACUAAGGGCAGUGCCCCACCCCAAAGAAGUUUUAGUCUGCCUCGCCUUCCUCUGCUUCCCACCCUGCCCAUAUGGACAGAUCCCCUUCCAUCUGCACGUGUGUAUGGGGGGGGGGUGUCACCGACUUUAUUUAAAUCCAAAAGACAGAAUGAUUCCACUAAAAAUUUUAAGUCAAACUGAUUAUCACACAGAGCAAAAUUUGGUUAUGCACGUGCAUGUGUGCGCGCGCACACACACACACCGAGGGAUAAGGGAGAAACACAUAUGUGCAUGCACAUAGAACCUUGUAAUCCCAGGAACCCAAACCAAAGAAAGGAUGUGUGGGAAGUAAUUUCAGCACUGAUUAUACCCAGGAAAUCAAGUAUCAUAAGCCUUACCUUCCAUCUGUGGCCCUCUUGUGGGUCACGUCAUUCUUUCUUACCACCUAGAGAGCUUGCCCUUAGUUUUCUGUAUUGGUUUUAGGACAAACAUGAUUUGCCUAAAGCAACAAAAUACACAUAGGAAUAGGAAAAAUAUUAGAGGAUAUUAUAUUAACUGUAUUCCUGGAGUCUGAUAUCCAACUUUCUGAUUGUCAUCCAUGAUAAGCUACUGAUCCAAGAGGAAGUAAGCAUAGAAGACAUUCAGUCUAAGCAAAGCCAAGCUUUGAGAUACGUGUGAAGACCACAUGCUGCCCGUCACAUGGGACAGUCACCAGAGAAGAUUUUUUCAAUGUAGCAGAGACCCCACGGUCACACAGAAUUCUAAGAAUAAGUGACAGAUGAGUUCUCAUCCCUGAAUGUCCUCUUUAAGCCUCAGAAGCAUUGCGGAAGAGUGGGCAGAAGAAACAUAAGAGCUGGGAGACAGAAGAAAGGACUGCAGUGAAAAUCUCAUCCUCUGGGCAAGAUAAAGUCACUGCAACCCUAAACUUCCCACAACUAUAAAUGCUCGCCUUAGUCUACAAAAGGGACCUGUCUUUUGUCAGGCGGAGAUUGAGGGUGGGCUCAAGGAGAUCUACCCCUCAAGGCUGAACUGGUUGCUACUGAUAGGUUCUGGGAGAGGGGGAACCACUGCUUUCAGCUUUGUGCCCACUGAUACAUCAGGCUCCAGUAGGUAGUUCCAAUCCAAUGGUCUACAAUUGGCCAUGUCUAAAUGGGUCAGAAAACAAAACCAAUACUCGUGGAUGUGGGAAAAGGAGUGUGAGUAACAGAAGUGAGUGGGGAAGAGGGUUGACAGGGAUGGGGGAGAGGACAGGGGCAGAAGAAGCAGAAUAUGUUA